GAAAUGCGAUAAGUAAUGUGAAUUGCAGAAUUCAGUGAAUCAUCGAAUCUUUGAACGCACAUUGCGCCCCGUGGUAUUCCGCGGGGCAUGCCUGUUCGAGCGUCAUUUCACCACUCGAGUCUGACUCGGUAUUGGGCGUCGCGUUUCGAUGCGCGCCUUAAAGUUUCCGGCUGGACCGUCCGUCUCCGAGCGUUGUGGCAUCUGUCUCGCUAGGGAGCCGCGGAGGGCGUUGGCCGUUAAACACCCCAUCAAAGGUUGACCUCGGAUCAGGUAGGGAUACCCGCUGAACUUAA
This 293-nucleotide unclassified non-coding RNA is filed under the name uncultured Mycosphaerellaceae. RNAcentral describes it as "sequence contains ITS1". The stretch from base 1 to 105 matches the Rfam family "5.8S ribosomal RNA", at positions 50 to 154 of the family's 154-position model. Lineage: Eukaryota; Fungi; Ascomycota; Dothideomycetes; Mycosphaerellales; Mycosphaerellaceae. The record is from RNAcentral.